Molecule: ribosomal RNA, 1413 nt
Filed under: Pediococcus acidilactici
Lineage: Bacteria; Bacillati; Bacillota; Bacilli; Lactobacillales; Lactobacillaceae
Description: bacterial SSU rRNA
Rfam family: Bacterial small subunit ribosomal RNA
Source: RNAcentral
GUCGACGAACUUCCGUUAAUUGAUUAUGACGUGCUUGCACUGAAUGAGAUUUUAACACGAAGUGAGUGGCGGACGGGUGAGUAACACGUGGGUAACCUGCCCAGAAGCAGGGGAUAACACCUGGAAACAGAUGCUAAUACCGUAUAACAGAGAAAACCGCCUGGUUUUCUUUUAAAAGAUGGCUCUGCUAUCACUUCUGGAUGGACCCGCGGCGCAUUAGCUAGUUGGUGAGGUAACGGCUCACCAAGGCGAUGAUGCGUAGCCGACCUGAGAGGGUAAUCGGCCACAUUGGGACUGAGACACGGCCCAGACUCCUACGGGAGGCAGCAGUAGGGAAUCUUCCACAAUGGACGCAAGUCUGAUGGAGCAACGCCGCGUGAGUGAAGAAGGGUUUCGGCUCGUAAAGCUCUGUUGUUAAAGAAGAACGUGGGUGAGAGUAACUGUUCACCCAGUGACGGUAUUUAACCAGAAAGCCACGGCUAACUACGUGCCAGCAGCCGCGGUAAUACGUAGGUGGCAAGCGUUAUCCGGAUUUAUUGGGCGUAAAGCGAGCGCAGGCGGUCUUUUAAGUCUAAUGUGAAAGCCUUCGGCUCAACCGAAGAAGUGCAUUGGAAACUGGGAGACUUGAGUGCAGAAGAGGAUAGUGGAACUCCAUGUGUAGCGGUGAAAUGCGUAGAUAUAUGGAAGAACACCAGUGGCGAAGGCGGCUGUCUGGUCUGUAACUGACGCUGAGGCUCGAAAGCAUGGGUAGCGAACAGGAUUAGAUACCCUGGUAGUCCAUGCCGUAAACGAUGAUUACUAAGUGUUGGAGGGUUUCCGCCCUUCAGUGCUGCAGCUAACGCAUUAAGUAAUCCGCCUGGGGAGUACGACCGCAAGGUUGAAACUCAAAAGAAUUGACGGGGGCCCGCACAAGCGGUGGAGCAUGUGGUUUAAUUCGAAGCUACGCGAAGAACCUUACCAGGUCUUGACAUCUUCUGCCAACCUAAGAGAUUAGGCGUUCCCUUCGGGGACAGAAUGACAGGUGGUGCAUGGUUGUCGUCAGCUCGUGUCGUGAGAUGUUGGGUUAAGUCCCGCAACGAGCGCAACCCUUAUUACUAGUUGCCAGCAUUCAGUUGGGCACUCUAGUGAGACUGCCGGUGACAAACCGGAGGAAGGUGGGGACGACGUCAAAUCAUCAUGCCCCUUAUGACCUGGGCUACACACGUGCUACAAUGGAUGGUACAACGAGUCGCGAAACCGCGAGGUUUAGCUAAUCUCUUAAAACCAUUCUCAGUUCGGACUGUAGGCUGCAACUCGCCUACACGAAGUCGGAAUCGCUAGUAAUCGCGGAUCAGCAUGCCGCGGUGAAUACGUUCCCGGGCCUUGUACACACCGCCCGUCACACCAUGAGAGUUUGUAACACCCAAAGCCGGU